RNAcentral lists this signal recognition particle RNA (284 nucleotides) under Microcebus murinus (gray mouse lemur). RNAcentral's name for it is "Metazoan signal recognition particle RNA (ENSMICG00000028649.2)". It matches the Rfam family "Metazoan signal recognition particle RNA". From Rfam's summary of the family: The signal recognition particle (SRP) is a universally conserved ribonucleoprotein. It is involved in the co-translational targeting of proteins to membranes. Lineage: Eukaryota; Metazoa; Chordata; Mammalia; Primates; Cheirogaleidae. The record is from RNAcentral.
GCUGGACGGGUAGUUCCAGCUAAUUGGGAGGCUGAGACAGGAGGAUUGCUUGAGCCCAGGAGUUCUGGUCUGUAGUGAGCUACGCUGAUUGGGUGUCCACACUAAGUUUGGUACUAAUAAGGUGACCUCCUGGGAGCGGGGGACCACCAGGUUGACUAAGGAAGGGUGAACCGGCCCAGGUCGGAAACGGAGCAGGUGAAACUCCUGUGCUGAUCAGUAGGGGGAUCUUGCCUGUGAAUAGCCACUGCACUCCAGCCUGGGCGACAUAGCGAGAUCCCAUCUCU